GGGGCAUUGUUUUGAAGGUGGGCCUGUGCAAUGAACUUUUAACGGCCGCGGUACCCUAACCGCGCGAAGGUAGCAUAAUCACUUGUUCUUUAAAUGGGGACUUGUAUCAACGGCAUCACGAGGGUUUUACUGUCUCCUCUUUUUAAUCAGUGAAAUUGAUCUUCCCGUGAAGAAGCGGGAAUACCCCUAUAAGACGAGAAGACCCCAUGGAGCUUUAAACCAAAUAGCAACUUAACUAUAUAUCCCCCCAUAGUUCCAUAAAGCCAUGCUACAAGGUUUUUGGUUGGGGUGACCGCGGAGUAAAAUGUAACCUCCACGACGGAAAGGCCACAAUCUUUAUUUAAGAACCACAAUUCUAAAAACUAGCACACUAACGUACACUGACCCGACAAUCGAUCAACGGACCAAGUUACCCUGGGGAUAACAGCGCAAUCUACUUCGAGAGCCCAUAUCGACAAGUAGGCUUACGACCUCGAUGUUGGAUCAGGGUAUCCCAGUGGUGCAGCCGCUACUGAAGGUUCGUUUGUUCAACGAUUAAAACCCUACGUGAUCUGAGUUCAGACCGGA
Molecule: ribosomal RNA, 567 nt
Filed under: Polypedates maculatus (spotted whipping frog)
Lineage: Eukaryota; Metazoa; Chordata; Amphibia; Anura; Rhacophoridae
Description: partial 16S ribosomal RNA
Rfam family: Bacterial large subunit ribosomal RNA
Source: RNAcentral